GGGAUAACACUUGGAAACAGGUGCUAAUACCGUAUAACACUAUUUUCCGCAUGGAAGAAAGUUGAAAGGCGCUUUUGCGUCACUGAUGGAUGGACCCGCGGUGCAUUAGCUAGUUGGUGAGGUAACGGCUCACCAAGGCCACGAUGCAUAGCCGACCUGAGAGGGUGAUCGGCCACACUGGGACUGAGACACGGCCCAGACUCCUACGGGAGGCAGCAGUAGGGAAUCUUCGGCAAUGGACGAAAGUCUGACCGAGCAACGCCGCGUGAGUGAAGAAGGUUUUCGGAUCGUAAAACUCUGUUGUUAGAGAAGAACAAGGAUGAGAGUAGAACGUUCAUCCCUUGACGGUAUCUAACCAGAAAGCCACGGCUAACUACGUGCCAGCAGCCGCGGUAAUACGUAGGUGGCAAGCGUUGUCCGGAUUUAUUGGGCGUAAAGCGAGCGCAGGCGGUUUCUUAAGUCUGAUGUGAAAGCCCCCGGCUCAACCGGGGAGGGUCAUUGGAAACUGGGAGACUUGAGUGCAGAAGAGGAGAGUGGAAUUCCAUGUGUAGCGGUGAAAUGCGUAGAUAUAUGGAGGAACACCAGUGGCGAAGGCGGCUCUCUGGUCUGUAACUGACGCUGAGGCUCGAAAGCGUGGGGAGCGAACAGGAUUAGAUACCCUGGUAGUCCACGCCGUAAACGAUGAGUGAUAAGUGUUGGAGGGUUUCCGCCCUUCAGUGCUACAGCA
Molecule: ribosomal RNA, 727 nt
Filed under: uncultured bacterium
Lineage: Bacteria
Description: bacterial SSU rRNA
Rfam family: Bacterial small subunit ribosomal RNA
Source: RNAcentral